RNAcentral lists this ribosomal RNA (700 nucleotides) under uncultured beta proteobacterium. RNAcentral's name for it is "bacterial SSU rRNA". It matches the Rfam family "Bacterial small subunit ribosomal RNA", at positions 78 to 774 of the family's 1533-position model. Lineage: Bacteria; Pseudomonadati; Pseudomonadota; Betaproteobacteria. The record is from RNAcentral.
GCUUGCACCUGGUGGCGAGUGGCGAACGGGUGAGUAAUAUAUCGGAACGUACCUUAUUGUGGGGGAUAACGCAGCGAAAGCUGUGCUAAUACCGCAUAAUCCCUAAGGGGGAAAGCGGGGGACCGUAAGGCCUCGCGCAAUUAGAGCGGCCGAUACCUGAUUAGCUAGUUGGUGAGGUAAAGGCUCACCAAGGCAACGAUCAGUAGCUGGUCUGAGAGGACGAUCAGCCACACUGGGACUGAGACACGGCCCAGACUCCUACGGGAGGCAGCAGUGGGGAAUUUUGGACAAUGGGGGCAACCCUGAUCCUGCAAUGCCGCGUGAGUGAAGAAGGCCUUCGGGUUGUAAAGCUCUUUUGUCAGGGAAGAAACAGCAGCUCUAACACAGUUUGCGAAUGACGGUACCUGAAGAAUAAGCACCGGCUAACUACGUGCCAGCAGCCGCGGUAAUACGUAGGGUGCAAGCGUUAAUCGGAAUUACUGGGCGUAAAGCGUGCGCAGGCGGUUAUGUAAGACAGGCGUGAAAUCCCCGGGCUUAACCUGGGAAUUGCGCUUGUGACUGCAUAGCUAGAGUAUGUCAGAGGGGGGUAGAAUUCCACGUGUAGCAGUAAAAUGCGUAGAGAUGUGGAGGAAUACCAAUGGCGAAGGCAGCCCCCUGGGAUAAUACUGACGCUCAUGCACGAAAGCGUGGGGAGCAAACA